Molecule: ribosomal RNA, 510 nt
Filed under: Godzillius fuchsi
Lineage: Eukaryota; Metazoa; Arthropoda; Remipedia; Nectiopoda; Godzilliidae
Description: partial large subunit ribosomal RNA
Rfam family: Bacterial large subunit ribosomal RNA
Source: RNAcentral
GGCUUUUUGUGUAAAUAAAAGGUCGUACCUGCCCACUGGCUAUUUAAUUGAAGGGCCGCAGUAAUUCUGACUGUGCUAAGGUAGCAUAAUCAUUUGUCAAUUUAUUGUUGAAUUGUAUGAAUGGUUUGACGAGAAAUUUAAUGUCUCCUUUAUGUUUAUUGAAUUUUAUUUUCUAGUGAAGAAGCUGGAAUGUUGCUGAGGGACGAGAAGACCCUAUAGAGUUUUAAUUAAUAUUUUUGUGAUUUUUUAUGUAUUGGAUUAUAUAAUGUAUUGAUUUUAGUUGGGGCGAUUGGUCAAGAGGAAUAUCUUGGCUUGAUUUUGAAUCAAUGUUGCUUGAAUUUUUUGAUCCAAUAAUUAUUGGUUAAAAGAUUAAAUUACCUUAGGGAUAACAGCGUUAUUGUAUUUUAGAGUUCUUAUCGAUAAUAUAGUUUGCGACCUCGAUGUUGAAUUAGGUUAAAUGGGAUGGGUGUAGAAGUUCUCUUGAGUAGUCUGUUCGACUAUUAUAUGCCU